RNAcentral lists this ribosomal RNA (535 nucleotides) under Hypocreales sp. C1. RNAcentral describes it as "eukaryotic LSU rRNA". The stretch from base 212 to 365 matches the Rfam family "5.8S ribosomal RNA". Lineage: Eukaryota; Fungi; Ascomycota; Sordariomycetes; Hypocreales. The record is from RNAcentral.
AGGGAUCAUUACCGAGUUACAACUCCCAAACCCAAUGUGAACGUUACCAAACUGUUGCCUCGGCGGGAUCUCUGCCCCGGGUGCGUCGCAGCCCCGGACCAAGGCGCCCGCCGGAGGACCAACCAAAACUCUUAUUGUAUACCCCCUCGCGGGUUUUUUUAUAAUCUGAGCCUUCUCGGCGCCUCUCGUAGGCGUUUCGAAAAUGAAUCAAAACUUUCAACAACGGAUCUCUUGGUUCUGGCAUCGAUGAAGAACGCAGCGAAAUGCGAUAAGUAAUGUGAAUUGCAGAAUUCAGUGAAUCAUCGAAUCUUUGAACGCACAUUGCGCCCGCCAGUAUUCUGGCGGGCAUGCCUGUCCGAGCGUCAUUUCAACCCUCGAACCCCUCCGGGGGGUCGGCGUUGGGGAUCGGCCCUCCCUUAGCGGGGUGGCCGUCUCCGAAAUACAGUGGCGGUCUCGCCGCAGCCUCUCCUGCGCAGUAGUUUGCACACUCGCAUCGGGAGCGCGGCGCGUCCACAGCCGUUAAACACCCAACUUC